GAUGAACGCUCGCGAUAGGCUUAACACAUGCAAGUCGAGGGGCAGCAUGGUCUUAGCUUGCUAAGACUGAUGGCGACCGGCGCACGGGUGCGUAACGCGUAUGCAACUUGCCUCACAGAGGGGGAUAACCCGUCGAAAGACGGACUAAUACCGCGUACACUCCAUCUUGGGCAUCCAAGGUAGAGGAAAUGAAAUUCGCUGUGAGAUAGGCAUGCGUCCCAUUAGCUAGUUGGUGAGGUAACGGCUCACCAAGGCGACGAUGGGUAGGGGAACUGAGAGGUUGAACCCCCACACUGGUACUGAGACACGGACCAGACUCCUACGGGAGGCAGCAGUGAGGAAUAUUGGUCAAUGGGCGAGAGCCUGAACCAGCCAAGUCGCGUGAAGGAUGACUGUCUUAUGGAUUGUAAACUUCUUUUAGACGGGAAUAACAAGAGUCACGGGUGACUCCCUGCAUGUACCGUAUGAAUAAGCAUCGGCUAACUCCGUG
RNAcentral lists this ribosomal RNA (490 nucleotides) under uncultured bacterium. RNAcentral's name for it is "partial 16S ribosomal RNA". It matches the Rfam family "Bacterial small subunit ribosomal RNA", at positions 28 to 507 of the family's 1533-position model. The record is from RNAcentral.